Molecule: ribosomal RNA, 494 nt
Filed under: uncultured bacterium
Lineage: Bacteria
Description: bacterial SSU rRNA
Rfam family: Bacterial small subunit ribosomal RNA
Source: RNAcentral
GAGUUUGAUCCUGGCUCAGGAUGAACGCUAGCGGCAGGCCUAAUACAUGCAAGUCGAACGCUCAGUAGCAAUGCUGGGAGUGGCGCACGGGUGCGUAACGCGUACACAAUCUACCUCUAAGCGGGGGACACCUCCUGAAACGGGGAUUAAUACCGCAUAAUAUGCCGAGGUCGCAUGACUUUGGUAUUAAAGCAGCAAUGCACUUAGAGAUGAGUGUGCGUCCCAUUAGGUAGUUGGUGAGGUAACGGCUCACCAAGCCUAUGAUGGGUAGCCGGUCUGAGAGGAUGGUCGGCCACACGGGCACUGAGACACGGGCCCGACUCCUACGGGAGGCAGCAGUAAGGAAUAUUGGUCAAUGGUGGAAACACUGAACCAGCCAUGCCGCGUGGAGGAAUAAGGUCCUACGGAUUGUAAACUCCUUUUGACGAGGAAGAAAGUGUUAGAUUUAUCUAAUUUUGACGGUACUCGUAGAAUAAGCACCGGUUAACUCCGUG